ACAUGCAAGUCGAACGAACUUAACCAUUAGUUUACUAUUGGAGCGGUUAGUGGCGGACUGGUGAGUAACACGUAAGCAACCUGCCUAUCAGAGGGGAACAACAGUUAGAAAUGACUGCUAAUACCGCAUAUGCCUUAGAAUCACAUGGUUCAAAAGGGAAAGGAGCAAUCCGCUGAUAGAUGGGCUUGCGUCUGAUUAGCUAGUUGGUGGGGUAACGGCCUACCAAGGCGACGAUCAGUAGCCGAACUGAGAGGUUGAACGGCCACAUUGGGACUGAGAUACGGCCCAGACUCCUACGGGAGGCAGCAGUCGGGAAUAUUGCGCAAUGGAGGAAACUCUGACGCAGUGACGCCGCGUGCAGGAAGAAGGUUUUCGGAUUGUAAACUGCUUUAGACAGGGAAGAACAAAGACAGUACCUGUAGAAUAAGCUCCGGCUAACUACGUGCCAGCAGCCGCGGUAAUACGUAGGGAGCGAGCGUUAUCCGGAUUUAUUGGGUGUAAAGGGUGCGUAGACGGGAAGUCAAGUUAGUUGUGAAAUCCCUCGGCUUAACUGAGGAACUGCAACUAAAACUGAUUUUCUUGAGUACUGGAGAGGAAGGUGGAAUUCCUAGUGUAGCGGUGAAAUGCGUAGAUAUUAGGAGGAACACCGGUGGCGAAGGCGACUUUCUGGACAGAAACUGACGUUGAGGCACGAAAGUGUGGGGAGCAAACAGGAUUAGAUACCCUGGUAGUCCACACCGUAAACGAUGGAUACUAGGUGUAGGGAAUAUUAAAAUUCUCUGUGCCGCCGCUAACGCAAUAAGUAUCCCACCUGGGG
Molecule: ribosomal RNA, 817 nt
Filed under: uncultured bacterium
Lineage: Bacteria
Description: bacterial SSU rRNA
Rfam family: Bacterial small subunit ribosomal RNA
Source: RNAcentral